AACGGAGGAUCCGAGCGUUAUCCGGAUUUAUUGGGUUUAAAGGGUGCGCAGGCGGCCAUUUAAGGCAGCGGUUAAAUCGUGGGGCUCAACCCCAUUCUGCCGUUGAUACUGGGUGGCUUGAUUGCGGGCGAGGUUGGCGGAAUUCGGUGUGUAGCGGUGAAAUGCAUAGAUAUGACGAAGAACACCGAUUGCGUAGGCAGCUGACCAGACCGCAAAUGACGCUCAUGCACGAAAGUGCGGGGAUCGAACAGGAUUAGAUACCCUGGUAGUCCGCACAGUAAACGAUGAAUACUUGUUUUCGGCGAUAUAAUGUCGGAGGCAAAGCGAAAGCGAUAAGUAUUCCACCUGGGGAGUACGCCGGCAACGGUGAAACUUAAAGGAAUUGACGGGG
This 391-nucleotide ribosomal RNA is filed under the name uncultured bacterium. RNAcentral describes it as "partial 16S ribosomal RNA". It matches the Rfam family "Bacterial small subunit ribosomal RNA", at positions 524 to 918 of the family's 1533-position model. The record is from RNAcentral.